GCCUCCACCAAUAGCUCAGUUGGUUAGAGCAUGGUGCUGAUAACACCAAGGUUGCAGGUUCGAUCCCUGCAUGGGGCA
Non-coding RNA from Podarcis lilfordi (Lilford's wall lizard), 78 nucleotides. Lineage: Eukaryota; Metazoa; Chordata; Lepidosauria; Squamata; Lacertidae. The record is from the annotation of a GenBank genome assembly.